This 71-nucleotide transfer RNA is filed under the name Dipodomys ordii (Ord's kangaroo rat). It matches the Rfam family "tRNA". Rfam says of the family: Transfer RNA (tRNA) molecules are approximately 80 nucleotides in length. Their secondary structure includes four short double-helical elements and three loops (D, anti-codon, and T loops). The record is from Rfam by way of RNAcentral. Lineage: Eukaryota; Metazoa; Chordata; Mammalia; Rodentia; Heteromyidae.
GGUGGAGUAGCUUAGUAGUAGAGUAUUUGCCUAGUGUGCAUAAGACCCUGGGUUCAACGCCAGCACCACGC